AAGCAUAUCAAUAAGCGGAGGAAAAGAAACCAACAGGGAUUGCCCUAGUAACGGCGAGUGAAGCGGCAACAGCUCAAAUUUGAAAUCUGGCCUCGGCCCGAGUUGUAAUUUGCAGAGGAUGUUUCUGGCGCGGUGCCUUCCGAGUUCCCUGGAACGGGACGCCAAAGAGGGUGAGAGCCCCGUAUGGUCGGACACCAAGCCUGUGUGAAACUCCUUCGACGAGUCGAGUAGUUUGGGAAUGCUGCUCUAAAUGGGAGGUAAAUCUCUUCUAAAGCUAAAUACCGGCCAGAGACCGAUAGCGCACAAGUAGAGUGAUCGAAAGAUGAAAAGCACCUUGAAAAGGGGGUUAAAUAGUACGUGAAAUUGUUGAAAGGGAAGCACUUAUGACCAGACUUGGGCCGGGCGGCUCAUCAGGGGUUCUCCCCUGUGCACUCCGCCCGGCACAGGCCAGCAUCGGUUCUCGUGGGGGGAUAAGACCGUCAGGAACGUAGCACCCUCCGGGGUGUGUUAUAGCCUGGCGGACGAUACCCUCGUGGGGACCGAGGUUCGCGCUCCGCAAGGAUGCUGGCGUAAUGGUCAUCAGUGACCC
This 589-nucleotide ribosomal RNA is filed under the name Diaporthe rudis. Its description in RNAcentral is "eukaryotic LSU rRNA". It matches the Rfam family "Eukaryotic large subunit ribosomal RNA", at positions 36 to 650 of the family's 3401-position model. Lineage: Eukaryota; Fungi; Ascomycota; Sordariomycetes; Diaporthales; Diaporthaceae. The record is from RNAcentral.